CCCUGGUUUACCUGCAUUGUCAUGAGCUUAUUUAUAACAAAUUUGAUAGAGACCUUUCUGUGCUUCUCCCAGGUGAUAAACGCAUGUUUUGGAAUGUGUUGUGGACUAUGCGACAAAAAAAAAGUUAGUUGAUUAUUUUAGAUGUUUUAGUAUGUUUUCAAAUACCAUUGAAUUGUGUAUAGCUUCCAUUUCUCAUGUUCCUUCACUUAUUUAUCCAUUCCAUGGUGGCCUUUCAGAAAUGAGAUAUCUGCUUUUGAUAGUACAGCUCUCCUACUGCCAUGUUUUUUAUGUUCCUCUACUAUUUCAGUGACCAACGAUGACAAUAAUAUGAUGUCUUUUUCUAGUUACCUUUAUUACCCUCUGGUGUGAUUUGAUAAAGAAGCUGAGAUGAAACAUAUGUGCUACCGCCCUCUAAACCAGGCUUCCCCAAACUCCGGCCCUCCAGAUGUUGCUGAACUACAACUCCCAUGAUUGUCAGCCUAUCUAUUUCAUUCAUGGAAUCAUGUGAGUUGUUGUUCAGCAACAUCUGGAGGGACAGAGUUUGGGGAAGCCUGCAAACCAACUGGAGGUGUAUUGGUGCUGGCACUGUAACCCAAUGCCUUUUGGUGCUUCUUUUUCUAUUAUACUUCAUCUUAAUUAUUUUAUAUUAUUUAGUGAAUUUGUGUCCACUCAUUCUUUAGUGAAUAUACCUUGUGUUAACAAGUAGCUGUCUUGCAUAGUCAUUCAUAGAAUGUAACAUGUGGGGUCCCUGAUCUCAGUAUAUCUUUAUUGUUAAUGGGGCUCAUGAUGAGGUUCCACUCAGUUUUUCUCUCUCCAACCACCAGUAGUUCCAUAUUUCCAUUUCUCCUCUUCCAUACCUGAUCUCUAGCUCUAUUCACAAACAUAUUUGCAGCCCAAUCCUCACCCCCUAUACAGUACUACUUAUCACCUCUGCAGUGGCGUACACAUGACCCAUGGGGCCCCGGUGCAAAAAUUGAUCCGUGGGCCCCCCCCCCCGCGCUUACAUGGCGCGGGUCGGGGUCGCAACACAUGGUGGCGGGCACCUGGUCGCAGGGGUUGCAGGGCUGCGACCCCGCGACCGCGGUAUGCACACACACUUAAAGGACCACUACAGACACCCAGAUCACAUCAGCUCAAUGAAGUGGUUCGGGUGCCAGGUCCCUCUAGUUUUAACCCUGCAGCUGAAAACAUAGCCGUUUCAGAGAAAUGGCUAUGUUUCACUGAGGGUUAAUCCAGCCUCUGGUGGCUGUCUCAUUGACAGCUGCUAGAGGAGCUUCCGCGAUUCUCACUGUGAAAAUCACAGUGAGAAGACACUGAACGUCCAUAGGAAAGCAUUGAGCAAUGCUUUCCUAUGGGCGGUUUAAAUGCACGCGCGGCUCUUGCCGCGCAUGUGCAUUUCGGAGCUGAGAGGCGGACACUGGGGAGUCCGACGCUGGAGAAAGGUAAAUGCUGAAGACACACACUCUCACGAACAGACGCAUGCACACUAGCUAACAGACACACACAUUUACUGACAGAGACACACUCAGUGACAGACAUACAUACACACUCACAAAACAUACACUUUCACUGACAAAUACACACUCACUAACAGACAUCAAACACACUCAGUAACAGACACACACAGUAACAUACUCACUAGCAGACAAACACCCAAUAACAGACACACUCACUGACACACACACACACACUAACACACACACUAACACACACACUAACACAAACACACACACAUUUUUUUUUCAAAUUUAAUCCCCCCAGCCUCCUUACCUUUUGGAGUGCUGGGGGGAUUCCCUGGGGUCCAGUGGUGGUGGUGCUGCUGGGCUCCUGGGCGGCCGGUCACUGGGUGGGUGGGUGGGCGGGCUGGCUGGCUGGCUGCCUGGGCGGCCGGCGCGCGAGGGAGCACUUUCCCCUGUGUGCUUCCUCUUCAGCUCCCUCGCGCGCCGCGCAGGGAUGCCGGCGCCGGAAGAUGACGUCAUCUUCCGGCUCCGGCAUCAGUGCGGUGCGCGAGAGAGCUGAAGAGGAAGCACUGAGUGCUCCCUCGCGCGCCCGCCUGCCUGCCUGCCCGACCGACCGGCCACCCGCCUGCCAGGUAUCAGCAGGGCCAGCCUCGGGGGGGCCCUGGGGUGGUCGGCUCCUGGGCCCCCCAGGGGAAGAGGCUGGCCCUGUGGCUACAUACCGGGUCGCAGGGGCGGCCGGGCCCCCUGGUAUGUACGCCACUGCACCUCUGUACCCUGCAGCAGAGUCCAACUUUAUCUAUUCCCCCCUGCAAUUGCCUGCCUCUUGAGUUCACCUCCACUAAACUAAAUAACCAGGAAGUAACAGGAGCGCUUGUCUGACUGACAGUCAUUGUUAUGUAACAAGGUUAAAGGAACACUAUGGCAUUAGUAAUACAAACCUGUAUUUCUAAUGCUAAAGUCUGCUAGUUGCAGAUUAGGUUUAGGUGCCCCCUUUCCCCUUCUCAGUUAAAAAAAUAAAAACAUUUUUUUACGUAUCUUUUCUCCAGUGCGAGGCUCCCUCAGCACUAUUGCCCACUCCUCCUUCCACAGCCAAUCCAAUGCUCCUCUUAGUUGAGCAUUGGAAACAGCUUGCACAUCCAAAAGCUUCUCAUAGAAUGAUGGAGUGAUGGAGUUUUAUUCGGGUGUUGUAGAGGAAGCGUCUCUAAUGCUGUCUGGAAGACACCCACUAGCGUUGUGUUUAACCUUGCAAUUUUAACAACAAAAUGACAAGACCACUGCACCCAGACCACUUUAUUAAAAUUAAGUGAUCUGGGUUACUUUAGUGGUCCUUUAAUUAAUAAAAGUGCCAAUUUCUAUAGAAUCUGCACUUUUUGUAAAAUUAAAAAAAAAACCUUCAGUAGCUCACCUAAUUCCAGCGCCGGGCUCCCUUACCUCUCAUCCCCCGCCGACGUCAGCAUCCUCGUCCGACGUCACAGGAGCCGAAUGCGCAUGCGCGGCACUUCCGCGCGCGCAUUCAAAGUGUCUGUAGGAAAGCAUUUUUCAAUGCUAGAGGCUGGCUUAACCCCAAAUGUAAACAUAGCAGUUUUUCUGAAACUGCUAUGUUUGCAUUUGAAGGGUUAAACCUGAGGGACCUGGCACCCAGACCACUUCAUUGAACUGAAGUGGUCUGGGUGACUAUAGUGUCCCUUUAAAGUGGAUCUGUCACUUUAGGGGUUUCUUUGCAUAUAUUUUGCAAACACCUUCAAAAGUGGCAUAUUAGGUGUGGGUCUGGUGGCCUCGGGGUACCGGGGAAGGCAAGUUUUACUUACCUCAAGCUCUCCCUCGCGGCUGCCACCAUAUUUGUCCUGCAGGUUCUCUUCCAGGAGCCGUAUCAGUGGUCUUCUCGGAUGUCUAACACUGAGGUCUGUGGAGGAUCCCACCAGCCCGUGGGAGCUUCCAUAGACAAUGCCUGAAUCCCACAGUCGUUGCAUGUGACGGCUGGUUGGAUUGGACAAAAGUUGUCGGAGGAGUCAUGAUCAAGAUUUCAUAAAGGAUAUAUCUUAUUUAUGAUCAUUAUCAAGUCCAAAGGCCAACUUAUUAUGUGUUAUUUAGCCUCUCUGUGCACUCUCUUAUUAGUUCAUGAAAGGAAGCUAGAGGUAGCAUUUAACCAUUAUGCAUGUGACCUUUGUACUAGCCACCUCUUAAUUUCUAUAGCAUAGCAUAACCCUACAGAUUAUCUCCAACCUGUCCUGUUGCACCUCUGGAGUCAAGGUAGCUUCAUAUAAACGGAUUGACAUUGAUUUAAAGGUUUACAUUCCUAAUUAGAUAUACUGAAUUUUAUAUCACUUAAAAUGAUGUUGAAAUGGUAGGAGCCAACUCCAGUAAUGCACCAAUGCAGAGAUCCAUGGGCGUCCACAGAGGGGGGACACUUGCUCCCCCCCCCCCUGGAUUUUUCAGCUUGUUCUGCAAAUUUUCGUGUGAGAUUGAAAAUACAGUGCAAUACCGGAGCCGGCCAGUAGGUGGCGCUGUGUAUGGAGAGACAGGAAGCUGCAUCUUAUCCCUGAAUCUGCAGGGGAGCAACACAUACAGCCAGCAGAGACAGCCUACAGAUCAGGUAAGUGAGGCAUAUGGGAGGCAGAGAUAGCCCACAGAUCAAGGAAGUGAGGCACAUGGGGGGUAGAGAUAGCCCACAGAUCAGGGAAGUGAGGCACAUGCGGGGCAGAGAUAGCCUACAUAUCAGGGAAGUGAGUCAUGGGGGGCAGAGAUAGCCUACAGAUCAUGGGCGUAAGGCACGGGGGGCAGAGAUAGCCACAGAUCAUAGGGAAGUGAGGCAUGGGGGCAGAGAUAGCCUACAGAUCAGGGAAGUGAGGCAUAUGGGGGGUAAUAUAUAACCCACAGAUCAGGGAAGUGAGGCACAUGGGGGGGCAGAGAUAGCCUACAGAUCAGGGAAGUGAAGCACAUGGGGGGCAGAGACAGCCUACAGAUCAGGGAAGUGAGGCACAUGGGGGGCAGAGAUAGCCUACAGAUCAGGGAAGUGAAGCACAUGGGGGGCAGAGACAGCCUACAGAUCAGGGAAGUGAGGCAUGGGGGGCAGAGAUAGCCUACAGAUCAGGGAAGUGAAGCACAUGGGGGGCAGAGAUAGCCUACAGAUCAGGGAAGUGAAGCAUAUGGGGGGCAGAGAUAGCCUACAGGUCAGGGAAGUGAGGCACAUGAGGGGCAGAGAUAGCCUACAGGUCAGGGAAGUGAAGCAUAUGGGGGGCAGAGAUAGCCUACAGGUCAGGAAGUGAAGACAUGGGGGGCAGAGAUAGCCUAUAGAUCAGGGAAGUGAGGCACAUGGGGGGGGGGGAGGAGACAGCCUACAGGAAGGGUCAGCAAGGACCAGGAAAAUAAAGUAAGAGAAGAAAGGAGGAAGAAAUAGAAAUGAGCAGGAAGGGGCAGCAAGGAGUAGGAAGGGACAGCAAGGAGCACAACAGAUAAAGUUGGAGAAGGAGCACAAAGUAACACAAAUGAGCAGGAAGGGUCUGCAAGGAGCACGAAGGGUCAACAAGGAGAAGGGUCAGCAAGGAGCUGGAAGGUAAAGCAGCACAAAGGUAAAGUAGAAGGAGCAGAAAAGGUCAGCAAGGAGCUGAAAAUGUCAGCAAGGAGCACAAAGGUGAAGUAGGAGAAGGAACAGAAAUGAGCAGGAAGGGUCUGCAAGGAGUAGCAAGGAGUAGGAAGGGUCUGCAAGGAGAAGGAAGGGUCUGCAGAAGGAGCAGAAAUGGACAGAAGGAGCACAAAGGUAAAGGAGCUGAAAGAAUCAGAAGGAGCACAAAGGUAAAGUAGGAGAAGGAGCAGAAAAGGGUAAAAAGGAGCAGAAAGGGACAGCAAGGAGCACAAAGGUAAAGUAGGAGAAGGAACAGAAAGGGUCUGCAAGGAGCAGAAAGGCAUCAGAUAGAGAAAGGAUCAGACGGGGGAGCACAAUAAACAGAAAGGUAAAGGAGCAGAAGGAGCCAAGGUGGAGAGAAGACAGUGUCAGAAGAAAAAGAAGACUGUGUCAAACGAAGGAGAAGAAAAGGAGAUUGGAGCAGGAAGGUAAGUAAAGUGAACCCUCCACUUUAUUCUGCACACCACAUCAUAAGGCUUUGGUACCUGGGCCUGGCAGGGAAACUUUGGACCUUCUCAUCUCCCCAGGUAAAAAAAAAAAUAUCAGUGUUAAUGUGUUCACUUUUAUUUACUGAGUGUCAGGAAGCACAGAGGGCCGCUGGGGAGGGGUGUCGCUGAUUGGUUAGAGCGGUCAGCUGGCACUCUAAGCCAAUCAGUAGCUCCCCAUUCAUAAAAAAGUAAAACAUUUUUAUGAACCGGGAACUAGCGAUUGGCUUAGAGCGUCAGCUGACCACUCUAGCCAAUCAGCGGCACCCAUGCCUGAUGUCAAUCUGCACUUCCUGACACUCCGUUUCAGAAGCCGAAUACCACUGAGCAACCUGGAAAUCUGGAGCUGGAGGAAGCCUUUGGGGUUAAACCAUUUGAGAGUGGUUUCACUCCUUAAAGGAAAGAGAGCACCCAGGGGCUUUCUGGCAUCAUAGCAUUUUUAUUUAGAUGACGUUAUUAUGGUGACCAGAAUGUUCCUUUAAUUUGCUUAAAGGAACACUAUAGUGUCCGGAAUACAAACAUGUAUUCCUGACACCAUAGUUGUGAAAACGCUAUUCACCCUGGCUUUAUGUGAUAAUGACUAUGCUCCUCCCCUUCAUGACACUGUCAAAAAGGGACCAAGCAUGGAUGUCAUUACAAUUAUGCCCCCACCUGGAAAAAUUCCUGCGGACGCCCAUGCAGAGAUCCCCAUGUUUUUAUAAUGAUGAACUAUGAGGUCUACGAAUACAUGGCAUUUCAGCUGUAAAUACAAGUAUUGAAUAAUGAUAGAAACAUAGCUUAUGAUAGCAGAUAACUACCUGACCCAUCUAGACGAUCCAUUGUGAAAUCUCAAACUAGCAUUUCUUAUUUAUUUUCAGGUUAACUUUAUAUAAAUCACAAACAUUCUUAAUUCUCUUAUGUUUAAACCUUCACUACGUAUGCUCUAAAGUUAUUCAAGGUAUCCGUGCUCUACAAUGUCCUCACAUUGUCCCUCUCUUAUACACACUCCCACUUAUGGUCCCUCUUUUGUUCUUCUAAUUAGGGGUCGACCGAUAUUGAUUUUUUAGAGCCGAUACCGAUACCGAUAAUCUGUGAACUUUCAGGCCGAUAGCCGAUAACUUGCCGAUAUUCUGAACAUUUACCAUUUUGAAAAAAUAAACUAAUUCUAAAAGUAAAUGCACAAAAUAUACAUGCCACGUGUAGUGGAUGAAGUGUGUUUAGACAGGGGAGCUGUGUGUGUUUGUGUAGUGUGUAUAGUGAAUGCAGUGAGUGUUUGUGCAGUGUGUGUAUAUAUAGUGAAUGCAGUGAGUGUUUGUGUAGUGUAUAUAUAUAUAUAUAGUGAAUGCAGAGUGUGUGUGUGUUUGUGUAGUGUGUAUCGUGAGUGCAGUGAGUGUUUGUGUAGUGUGUAUAGUGAAUGCAGUGUAUGUGUUUGUAUAGUGCGUAUAUAUAGUGAAUGCAGAGUGUGUUUGUGUAGUGUGUAUAGUGAAUGCAGUGAGUAUUUGUGUAGUGUGUAUAGUGAAUGCAGAAUGUGUGUUUGUGUAGUGUGUAUAGUAAAUGCAGAGUGUGUGUUUGUGUAGUGUGUAUAGCGAAUGCAGUGUGUGUAGUGUGGGUAAAGUGAAUGCAUUGUGUGUGUAUAUAAUGCAGUGUGUGUUUGUGUAGUGUGUAUAUAAUGCAGUGUGUGUGUUUGUGUGUUGGGUGUGUGUAUAUAAUGCAGUGUGUGUGUGUUUGUGUGUUGGGUGUGUGUAUAUAAUGCAGUGUGUGUGUGUGUUGUGUGUGUGUAUAUAAUGCAGUGUGUAGUGUGUGUAUAUAAUGCAGUGUGUGUUUGUGUAGUGUGUGUGUAUAUAAUGCAGUGUGUGUGUGGGUUUGUGUAGUGAUGUAAUUUGUGUAAAAUGGGGGGGGGCAUUUUUUUUGUAAUUUUUAAAAAAAAAAAUUUUUUUAAUAUUUAAAUUUUUUUUGUUUGUUUGUUUAGUCCCCCCUCCCUGUAUUCCCUGGUGGUCCGGUGGCUUGUUAAGUACUGGGGGUGACCGCAGGAAGCUGUUUCUUACCUUUCAUGCAGCUCCUCCAGCUCCGCAGUGCAAAUCUCGCGGCCCUUAGUGCCGCACGAGCAUUGCCAUGGUAACCAGUGGCAACGCUCUGCGGCUGCGGGUCUCGCAAGAUUUGCACUGCAGAGCUGGAGGAGCUGCAAGAAAGGUAAGAAAUAGUGAAUGCAGUGUAUGUGUUUGUAUAGUGCGUAUAUAUAGUAAUGAGCCUGGCGGUCCUAGGAGGUAUUAUCGGCAAUAUCGGUAUCUAUAUUGGCCAAUACUGAUAUUGCCGAAAAUACCGAAUAUCGGCCGAUAAUAUCAGUAAAACCGAUAAUCGGUCGAUCCCUACUUCUAAUACUGUUUUUAUUUACAAUGUUUCCUUCACCAACUAUAUUUAAUAUAUUAAUGCAUUUGCCUAGUUUUGUCAUGUUUACUGUUUCAUUUCUCUUUUCCAAGGUGCAUUUAUUACGUUACAACGCCAUCAUUGGCCAUUAAUACGUGUUUCUGAAGAUGACUCAAGUAAUUUUUCACUGACACAUGGAAGACUGAUUUUGACUAUUCCGUAUAAAGGAAGCACAAUAAUAU
Molecule: non-coding RNA, 8152 nt
Organism: Pelobates cultripes (western spadefoot toad)
Lineage: Eukaryota; Metazoa; Chordata; Amphibia; Anura; Pelobatidae
Source: the annotation of a GenBank genome assembly